UGGCUCAGAACGAACGCUGGCGGCGUGCUUAACACAUGCAAGUCGAACGCGAAAGGGACUUCGGUCCUGAGUAAAGUGGCGCACGGGUGAGUAACGCGUAGAUAACCUGUCUUCAUGUCUGGAAUAAUACGCCGAAAGGGGUACUAAUACCGGAUAUUCUUGCUUUUCAUAAGUUAUGCAAGCAAAGGUGGCCUCUGCAUAUGCUACUGCAUGAAGAGGGGUCUGCGUACCAUUAGCUAGUAGGUGGGGUAAUGGCCUACCUAGGCGACGAUGGUUAGCGGGUCUGAGAGGAUGAUCCGCCACACUGGCACUGGAACACGGGCCAGACUCCUACGGGAGGCAGCAGUGAGGAAUAUUGCGCAAUGGGGGAAACCCUGACGCAGCGACGCCGCGUGAGUUGAGGAAGGCCUUCGGGUCGUAAAGCUCUGUCAAGAGGAAAGAAGUGUACAAUGGCUAAUACCUGUUGUAUUUGACGGUACCUCUAAAGGAAGCACCGGCUAACUCCGUGCCAGCCGCCGC
This 519-nucleotide ribosomal RNA is filed under the name uncultured bacterium. Its description in RNAcentral is "bacterial SSU rRNA". It matches the Rfam family "Bacterial small subunit ribosomal RNA", at positions 20 to 518 of the family's 1533-position model. The record is from RNAcentral.